GGAGGGAACGCCAACACCGACACCGACACCGACACGACACCGACACCGACAUGGGUGUGACCAGCUUGGAGCCCCCUAGUCUAUGGGCGCGACGGUGUGUCCGGUACCUUGUCUGUCUGCCUGCACUUACAUUCUACUGGAUGCUGGUUCAAAUUCCUCCCUUCAGGGUAUUGGUCACGAGUUUUGCACAGGAAAAAAAGAAGAAAUACAUGGCAGAAUUUGCAACUUUCACACACGCACAGAUUCGCCACAUCGCCAUAAUCAUGACGUAUAACGUUCUGAAGAAGGUAAAAGUAGGAGUCGGGCUGUUGGAUAUCCCGCUAUUCACGCUAGAGGGGGACAGUUGUCGCCUGUCACACCUGGUGAAAGAACAACGCCCCCUGGUGCUCAACUUUGGCAGUCUCACCUGAGGCCCAUUCCUGUCCGCGGUCAGCGAUUGGAACGCCGUUGUAAAGAAGUACGGUGAUCUCGCAGACUUCGUGACAGUUUAUAUAAUGGAGGCUCACGCUAGUGACAGCUUGGCCUAGUGA
Long non-coding RNA from Aplysia californica (California sea hare), 530 nucleotides. RefSeq lists it as uncharacterized. The transcript has 3 exons. Lineage: Eukaryota; Metazoa; Mollusca; Gastropoda; Aplysiida; Aplysiidae. The record is from RefSeq and is a predicted model, not a curated record.